GGGGGGGAGAGAACUGCCUUGCACCACUAGUGCAGCCUGCCAUGCAAGGGGCGGGGGAGAGAGAGAGAAGUGAGGGGAGACAGAAGUGAGAGGUGAGAGAAGGCAUGUGAUGUUGACAGAGCAAUUUACCCAACUGUCAGCACAGAGAGAAUAUGACUGGAAUCCAUGAUCAGCCCAUGCAUCUACUCAGCUGACUUACAAAGUCUUAAUGGAAAUCACUGAAAGAAAGUGACAAGAAAUGGAAGUCCUUAUAGUAUAUGACAGAAACCACCAAGAAUGGAUGGAUGCCAAUUACAUAUGAUUAAUAGACACAAAAGGAAUGAGCCACACAGCACAACAUGUAUCAUCUCACUUGAAGGAACACACACAACUCUUUUUCUGUGAACUGUCCUGCAAGGAUCCUUUUACUUUGUCCAUGCUAAAAAGAAUGUGUUGCAGAAAACUCUUCCAGCAGAGAUUCAGCAGGCCUCCUCAUUUCUGACUCUCAGGCAUACCUUGAAGAUGGGUU
Long non-coding RNA from Podarcis raffonei (Aeolian wall lizard), 508 nucleotides. RefSeq lists it as uncharacterized. The transcript is spliced from 4 exons. NCBI's taxonomy places the organism in Eukaryota, Metazoa, Chordata, Lepidosauria, Squamata, Lacertidae. The record is from RefSeq and is a predicted model, not a curated record.